AAUAUAUUAAGUGAUGAGUCGUUUUCGUUUCUUAUUCAAGAGUGUGGUGCUUCGAUUGAACAAAUCAUUUUCCUUCAAGGGCGGUGCUGUUGGAACGACCUGAUAGUCGAGUCGUUAGUCAAGCACUGUCCCAAUCUGAAAUCGGUAACAACGUAUUUGCACGAGAGCUAUUGUAACAUCUUCCAGUCCUUUUUAAUAAAAAAGAAAAAUUCUCUAACAUCGAUUAAAUUUAUUCAACAAAAUCGAUUUCCUUUAGAAAUCUUGAAAGUGGUGGGUGAAAUUUCCCAAUUGAAACAGCUUUCAUUAGAAGUCUAUGCUGACGAAAAUGUGUACCACAUACAGAAGUGUGUCUCCCUGGAGAAGCUAGAACUCAAUAGUGGUUCAUACGGAACUAUAUAUACUAUCAACCUACAACAGAUUUGUGCUCCCCUUACGAAUCUCCGGAACCUAAGUUUGAAUAACUUUAAAAUUUCGCCCUUUGAAGACUUACAUUCAACUGAGUGGGUUAGGCUGGAAAGACUGACAUUGAUUCAAUGCGAAUAUCCCGAACUACCUUAUUGUCCAGAACUUAAAUAUUUGAGAUUUGAUUACCCCACAAGUCUCAUCGAAAAUUAUGGGUUGAAAUUCAUUCUCAAAAACGGAGCAAAUCUCAAAACAUUGUACGAAGACUGCCUACCACCAAUCAGUCCCGAUGGUUUCCUUGAAGUACUUAGGGCCUGCCCUAAACUGCGAUUCUUUCAUACUCGAAUGGAAUAUAUAAAACUCUAUGCAGGCUAUGUGUCUGCUAUUUUGGAGAUUCUUAAGGUGAAUGGAGUGACGCGGGAGGAUCCAUUAGAACUGAUUAUAUAUAGGCGUAUUAAAUGGAAAUGGUUUCGAAGACUACUUCUACGAGCGCCUAAUGCUGAGCUGAUCGACCUGUACGAGGGUGCUUAAUGAA
Molecule: long non-coding RNA, 937 nt
Organism: Drosophila eugracilis
Lineage: Eukaryota; Metazoa; Arthropoda; Insecta; Diptera; Drosophilidae
Exons: 3
Source: RefSeq, a predicted model, not a curated record